RNAcentral lists this ribosomal RNA (492 nucleotides) under uncultured bacterium. RNAcentral describes it as "partial 16S ribosomal RNA". It matches the Rfam family "Bacterial small subunit ribosomal RNA", at positions 28 to 507 of the family's 1533-position model. The record is from RNAcentral.
GAUGAACGCUAGCUACAGGCUUAACACAUGCAAGUCGAGGGGAAACGACAUCGAAAGCUUGCUUUUGAUGGGCGUCGACCGGCGCACGGGUGAGUAACGCGUAUCCAACCUGCCCACCACUUGGGGAUAACCUUGCGAAAGUAAGACUAAUACCCAAUGAUAUCUCUAGAAGACAUCUGAAAGAGAUUAAAGAUUUAUCGGUGAUGGAUGGGGAUGCGUCUGAUUAGCUUGUUGGCGGGGUAACGGCCCACCAAGGCAACGAUCAGUAGGGGUUCUGAGAGGAAGGUCCCCCACAUUGGAACUGAGACACGGUCCAAACUCCUACGGGAGGCAGCAGUGAGGAAUAUUGGUCAAUGGACGAGAGUCUGAACCAGCCAAGUAGCGUGCAGGAAGACGGCCCUAUGGGUUGUAAACUGCUUCUAUAAGGGAAUAAAGUGAGUCUCGUGAGACUUUUUGCAUGUACCUUAUGAAUAAGGACCGGCUAAUUCCGUG